Pelecanus crispus (Dalmatian pelican) is the source of this 802-nucleotide non-coding RNA. The record is from RefSeq and is a predicted model, not a curated record. Lineage: Eukaryota; Metazoa; Chordata; Aves; Pelecaniformes; Pelecanidae.
GCGUGUUGUAGUUUUGGCAGCUUUAUUUGGCUGCAUUAUCAAGUGACGAAAUAAUCCUCUUUUACCCCAGGGGAUAUGAUUUGGUUUGGUUUUUUUCUUUCUUUCUUUUUUUUUUUUUUUUUUUUUUUUUUUUUUUUUUAACUUGAUAAAUCCUGCUUGUAAAUAGCUGGAGCUAAAACCUGGGGCUGAGAGCAAAUGAGAACCAGGGCUGUAGAGUGAUAUGGACUGGUGGAGUAUUUUACUGACCUCACAGGCUGAUCUACUUGAGACUUGGAGAUUUUCAGUGCAAGGCUGAGAUGCCGCAGCACCUCCAAUGGCAGCGACGGACUUGCCCCUUCACACGGUCUCCCCAGCACCUCCCAUUGCCAGGUACCACCGGGGAACAGGACGUGUCCCGAGUGGGAUGCGUUCCCUUCCCCUAGAUCAUUUCCUAGGACGCCCGAGCCGCUUGCCCAGGGUCCCAUUUCCCUGCUGACUCUGGAGAAGCAGUAUCUGCAUCCCAGGGCUUUGUGACAGCCUCUAACCUCCCGCCCUCCCUCGUUAAGUAUCAUAUUGUAUAGUAGCUUUCAGACCAUACAGUAUUCAUUGGGUUAUUCCUCUUAUUAUCAAGUAGCUGGAAUUGUGAAGGUCGGAGUAGUUAGAUCUUUAGCUUUUAUUCCUUUUUUUUGUAUUACUAUCCAUGUGUAUAAAUUAUUGAUCAUGUUGCUGGCUUUUAUAAACUUUAAGCAAGGGGGGAAACCCUUCCUAACCCUUUGCAAAUGGUAAUGAAGCACUGUUUUUAAAUAAAAGAGAGAAACACCAG